UGUAAUGCUGAGAAAGGUAAAAACACCUUCAA
Molecule: non-coding RNA, 32 nt
Filed under: Homo sapiens (human)
Lineage: Eukaryota; Metazoa; Chordata; Mammalia; Primates; Hominidae
Source: RNAcentral